AGAGUUUGAUCAUGGCUCAGAUUGAACGCUGGCGGCAGGCCUAACACAUGCAAGUCGAACGGUAACAGGAAGCAGCUUGCUGCUUCGCUGACGAGUGGCGGACGGGUGAGUAAUGUCUGGGAAACUGCCUGAUGGAGGGGGAUAACUACUGGAAACGGUGGCUAAUACCGCAUAACGUCGCAAGACCAAAGAGGGGGACCUUCGGGCCUCUUGCCAUCAGAUGUGCCCAGAUGGGAUUAGCUUGUUGGUGAGGUAACGGCUCACCAAGGCGACGAUCCCUAGCUGGUCUGAGAGGAUGACCAGCCACACUGGAACUGAGACACGGUCCAGACUCCUACGGGAGGCAGCAGUGGGGAAUAUUGCACAAUGGGCGCAAGCCUGAUGCAGCCAUGCCGCGUGUAUGAAGAAGGCCUUCGGGUUGUAAAGUACUUUCAGCGGGGAGGAAGGUGUUGUGGUUAAUAACCACAGCAAUUGACGUUACCCACAGAAGAAGCACCGGCUAACUCCGUGCCAGCAGCCGCGGUAAUACGGAGGGUGCAAGCGUUAAUCGGAAUUACUGGGCGUAAAGCGCACGCAGGCGGUCUGUCAAGUCGGAUGUGAAAUCCCCGGGCUCAACCUGGGAACUGCAUUCGAAACUGGCAGGCUUGAGUCUUGUAGAGGGGGGUAGAAUUCCAGGUGUAGCGGUGAAAUGCGUAGAGAUCUGGAGGAAUACCGGUGGCGAAGGCGGCCCCCUGGACAAAGACUGACGCUCAGGUGCGAAAGCGUGGGGAGCAAACAGGAUUAGAUACCCUGGUAGUCCACGCCGUAAACGAUGUCUACUUGGAGGUUGUGCCCUUGAGGCGUGGCUUCCGGAGCUAACGCGUUAAGUAGACCGCCUGGGGAGUACGGCCGCAAGGUUAAAACUCAAAUGAAUUGACGGGGGCCCGCACAAGCGGUGGAGCAUGUGGUUUAAUUCGAUGCAACGCGAAGAACCUUACCUGGUCUUGACAUCCACGGAAGUUUUCAGAGAUGAGAAUGUGCCUUCGGGAACCGUGAGACAGGUGCUGCAUGGCUGUCGUCAGCUCGUGUUGUGAAAUGUUGGGUUAAGUCCCGCAACGAGCGCAACCCUUAUCCUUUGUUGCCAGCGGUUAGGCCGGGAACUCAAAGGAGACUGCCAGUGAUAAACUGGAGGAAGGUGGGGAUGACGUCAAGUCAUCAUGGCCCUUACGACCAGGGCUACACACGUGCUACAAUGGCGCAUACAAAGAGAAGCGACCUCGCGAGAGCAAGCGGACCUCAUAAAGUGCGUCGUAGUCCGGAUUGGAGUCUGCAACUCGACUCCAUGAAGUCGGAAUCGCUAGUAAUCGUGGAUCAGAAUGCCACGGUGAAUACGUUCCCGGGCCUUGUACACACCGCCCGUCACACCAUGGGAGUGGGUUGCAAAAGAAGUAGGUAGCUUAACCUUCGGGAGGGCGCUUACCACUUUGUGAUUCAUGACUGGGGGUGAAGUCGUAACAAGGUAACCGUAGGGGAACCUGCGGUUGGAUCACCU
This 1531-nucleotide ribosomal RNA is filed under the name Salmonella enterica subsp. enterica. Its description in RNAcentral is "bacterial SSU rRNA". It matches the Rfam family "Bacterial small subunit ribosomal RNA". Lineage: Bacteria; Pseudomonadati; Pseudomonadota; Gammaproteobacteria; Enterobacterales; Enterobacteriaceae. The record is from RNAcentral.